Apis dorsata (giant honeybee) is the source of this 376-nucleotide long non-coding RNA. RefSeq lists it as uncharacterized. Lineage: Eukaryota; Metazoa; Arthropoda; Insecta; Hymenoptera; Apidae. The record is from RefSeq and is a predicted model, not a curated record. The transcript has 2 exons.
UCGCCUGAAAUUACAAAUUGCAUCGAAUGCAAUUGAUCCGAUCGAAUUGGAUCAUACGAUUGGUAACAUUCAAUUUCACGGAUAUAAAGUCGUGAAUCUAGGAAAAUACCUGUGGUAUCAGGGUCAGACCUACUGUCAAUCCCGCAACCAGGUCACCCAAUGCGUCCUUCGUUUUGUACAGCGUUUCAGCACAUCGUGUCAACUUGAAAUUCUGAAAAUAUAACACGAUCCAAUGAUCUGAACGAAGGAAGAACUUCGAUUUCAAGUUUCAAUCGACAGAUCGUCAUAAUUCAUCGGCCUGUCCUCUUAAUAUGCGAGCUGCAUCGCCUCAUUAACUGGCAUCGCAAUCGUCGUCUUCAAUGUCUCGCCGAUGAAA